RNAcentral lists this long non-coding RNA (284 nucleotides) under Jatropha curcas. RNAcentral describes it as "long non-coding RNA (JCUR_LNC000114)". The record is from RNAcentral. Lineage: Eukaryota; Viridiplantae; Streptophyta; Magnoliopsida; Malpighiales; Euphorbiaceae.
AGAUUGUUGAGAUGAUCUUGCUGAUGUAAGGGUUGGAACUGGAGAUUGAACAUUUGAACUGUUUUUGCAGGCUUUGGAAGUAAAAAUGCGUUUUAGGUAUGACAAAGAAGAAGAAAGAGCUCGGUGUGGCUUUAAGCGAAACGAAGAAGAAGAAGAGGAAGGAGAAAGAGGAGAGAUUUUACGUUUCUUGGUGGGCUGGUUAUCUUUAGAGGUGAAAAUAAAGCAACCAAGAUGAACAAGAAGAAGAAAGAUGGAGAAGAACUUGUUGAAGACAGAUACUAUGC